Molecule: long non-coding RNA, 162 nt
Organism: Daphnia pulicaria
Lineage: Eukaryota; Metazoa; Arthropoda; Branchiopoda; Diplostraca; Daphniidae
Exons: 2
Source: RefSeq, a predicted model, not a curated record
AUAUUACGCAAUAUGGGACUCAGUGUUGGAAUUUAGGAAAUCUUAAUCACCGCUGUAGAUCGGCUGCAUUUUGUGACUGACCUAAAGCUGUUCCGAGCGUGUAUAACGGAGCUCCACCUGCACCCAUGAUGAGUUGCGCUACUAGAAACACGUACUUGAACU